UGUAGAUGAGCCGAUAUAUAGUGAGAAAAAGAAAAUGCGUGAGAUGGAGUGCGCUCUCAGACUCAAAAGGAGCAGCCCCCAUCAAGUGCAAAACCCCGCAAGAAAUCAUGCAGCUCUACGGCAGCUACCUGACCCUCAGGGAGCAAAGAGAACUCUUGGCCAUGCAGGAGAUAUGGUACCUUGGGCUCCAAAAUCAGGCCCGGGGCAAGUACAACCAUGGCUACGAUGACGACCAACACCGUUAUAUUCCGGUAAAACACGAGCACCUCAACUUUCGGUAUGAGGUGCUGAAGACGAUUGGGGAGGGCGGUCAAGGCAUAGUGGUCGAGUGUCUUGACCACAUGACAAACACCCUGGUGGCGGUGAAAAUACUCAGAACUCCAUUGAGGUAAGACUCCACACUGGCACGUGCCACAAUGUGGUGGAUAUUAUUAACGCAACUAUUACG
This is a long non-coding RNA of Lethenteron reissneri (Far Eastern brook lamprey), 448 nucleotides long. RefSeq lists it as uncharacterized. The record is from RefSeq and is a predicted model, not a curated record. NCBI's taxonomy places the organism in Eukaryota, Metazoa, Chordata, Hyperoartia, Petromyzontiformes, Petromyzontidae.